AGGACGAACGCUGGCGGCGUGCUUAACACAUGCAAGUCGAGCGGAAAGGCCCUUCGGGGUACUCGAGCGGCGAACGGGUGAGUAACACGUGAGCAACCUGCCCCUAGCUCUGGGAUAGCUCCGGGAAACCGGGAUUAAUACCGGAUACGACCACCUUAGACAUCUUUUGUGGUGGAAAAGAAUUUCGGCUAGGGAUGAGCUCGCGGCCUAUCAGCUUGUUGGUGGGGUAACGCCUACCAAGGCGACGACGGGUA
Molecule: ribosomal RNA, 254 nt
Filed under: uncultured bacterium
Lineage: Bacteria
Description: partial small subunit ribosomal RNA
Rfam family: Bacterial small subunit ribosomal RNA
Source: RNAcentral